RNAcentral lists this long non-coding RNA (4583 nucleotides) under Homo sapiens (human). RNAcentral describes it as "HSALNT0021492". Lineage: Eukaryota; Metazoa; Chordata; Mammalia; Primates; Hominidae. The record is from RNAcentral.
AGCAAAUGCAGAAGCCCUAUGAAAGCCUGCCUGGCACUCCAGAAACUGCAGGAGGCUCAUGUGGCUGGAGUGGAGUGAGGAAGGGGUGGAGGCCAAGAGAUGAGGUCAAAAAGGCGGUAAGAGCCAGGUCUUGCGGAGCCUCCUGGGCUACUUGCUUCUACUGCGCGUGAGAUGGAAAACAUUGGAAGCCUUUGGGCUGAGAGGCAGAGAAGUGUUGGCCUCGAGCUCUGCCUAUGAUUUUCCUGCAGAACUAAACUACCACACCUUAACCUGCUCUCCUCAGGGGUGAAUCAAUUCAGUGUCUUUCCUCUUGGCAGGUGAGUCUCAUUCUCCAAUUGUUUUGCCACUUUGGGGCAUCCCCUGAGCCUUCUGAGAGGUUGAGCGCAAGGCAUAUUUCUUCUAACAACUAGCUCACUUUAUUGACAUUCACCUACCUGAAAGCAGGAAGCUGGAUCAGAUAACUUUGGGGACUUCCUUUCAGUUUUGACUUUAUGUGCGCCCUCUCGGGACCUGGCUUAGGAUUCUGCUCAUGGUAAAUAUUUGGUAAGCCUUACUGGUUGUAUGACUCAUGAGUGUGGUUCCUAAUAAGAGUCACAGAAAACAGUAAAAGCAGUUCCAGGAAUUUGCUGCUUACUCAGUAGUGGUGGAUGCAGCAGGGAAAAUAAUGCAGGCUUCCUGCCCAUUUCCCAGCCACUUCUCCGUAUAUGCACCUGGUCACAAAGGGAUGGUCACAAAGACCAUAAGACAGACCCCAGAGACCCCAGGCAACGUGUUCCCUGGCAGGGAGUGUGUCCUGCGGAUGGUGUUCCUCAAGGAGCACAGGCUUCUUAGGGGCGGCUUUCACUCAACUUGGAAGGGAGGUCUAGGUAGAGGGGUUCACUCAAGUGGACUCCUUCUCAUUUCCUCGUUUCUUUCUAAGGAAGCCACUUUUAAGUGUGAUGGCAUUGAGACUGUGUAUUGCUGCACCCCAGUGCCAGUGAACCUAUGAAAUACAGCCGUGCUCACUCUGUGCCUCACAUGGAAUCUCUCUAGAAGUAACUGGGAGGCCAGAGCAGGAGGGAGCCCAAGCAGUGGAGUGAUGGGGCCAAAAUGAUCAUCUUUUGAGAGCUCAGACUCAUCAACAUUCAACCUUUGCAGAGGCACUCAAGGCCUUUACUUUUGCAGAAAGUGCCUGAACUAGUCUGUCAAACACCUUCCAAAACUGGCCCUUUAUUCUUUGGAAAGUUAUUCACUACUCCCGUUAUUCAUCUUGCUCUUGUGUCUCUGACGUUUUAUUUAAGCUCAUACCACUUGCUCAGAACACCCCCAAUCAACCUCUAUCUUCUCUCAUCAUUCUCAGGGCUCCUGAAAUUACCUCUUCCAGGAAGUCUUCCCUGACUAACAAGAACAAUGAAACUUCCUGGCUUCCUUCUACACUAACCGCUCUCCUCAAAUAACUUCCUUUUUGUUUUCACAGAACAUAAAUGCUUCAAUUUAUUUAUUAGUUUAAUGUGUGUUUUUAGACUCUCAGGAAGGAUGUAAUUAUAGAUGAUGACUUCUGAGAAGUAGGAUGGUGUCCAGCUUGAUGUGCAAAUGGCCCCAACAUAUCAGCAGCAAACAAAGGCUGUUGCCACAGGUGUGACUUUGCAAGUAAUUGCUCAGACUUUGCCUUCAGAACCUGUUCUAUAUUUCCAGUGGUGCUGCUUAUAUGUGCAGCAUUAGCCAGAUUCUUCAGUAGUAUUCAUUCAACAAAUGCUUAUUGAGAGCCUUUUAUGAGCCAAGUACUGUUAGGUACUGGAGAUGUAGUGCCCAUUGAAUUUUUCUUUGAGAAAUUUUAUUUUUACCAAGCUCCCAAGAGGUAGAACUUUAUGUCAUUUUUAAAGUAAGUGAUUUCAGGCAAGUUUCAUAAAACAAAUCUAUAUAUAAAAGUCACCCAGGCUGCAGUGAUCUCAGCUCACUGCAACCUCCACUCCCCACCACUCCCCCACCCCGCCUGCCAGCUCAAGUGAUCCUCCCACCUCAGCCUCCCAAGUGGCUGGGACCACAGGCGUACACCACCACACCCAGCCUUUUUUUUUUUUUUUUUUUUUUUUUUAGUAGAAAUUGGGUCUCACCAUGUUGCCCAGGCUGGUCUCAAACACCUGAGCUCAAGUUAUCCACCCACCUCAGCCUCCCAAAGUGCUAGGAUUACAGGCAUGAGACACUGUGCCUGGCUGAAAUUUUUAAGAUUAUUGUGGUGGACCACCAAUUUGGUGGCCCACACUGAACUAUUUCUCUAAGUAUUUAUACCCUUGUGUAGUCUCCUAUCCCUCUUGAUUUUGAGCUGGGCUGUGAUCUGCUUUAAUUAACAGGAUAUAGUAGAAGUGGUGUUGUGCCAAUUCCAGGUGUAAGGCCACGAAGAGCUGGCAGUUUCUGCUUUUGUGGUUUUGAGAUCCCUUAGCUACCAUGAGCAAAGACCUGCUACUCUGCUGGAGAAACUGUGUGGAGAGUCCACUUGGAAAGGGAGUGGCUCUGAGACUACAGGGAAAGGGAGAGAAGCUCAGACAUUCCAGUGUCCCAAAGAACCCAGUCUCCAGCCAACCCAACUGAAUACAGACACAUGAGUGAACACCAGCAAGACCAGCAGACCAUCCAGCUAAGCCCAGCUCAGAUUAUAGAAUUGUGAGCAAAUAACCACUUGGUUGUUUUAAGCCACUAGUUUGGGGAUUUCUUUUUUUUUAAUACGAGCAACUGGUAACUUAAAAAUCUCAUCACUUCUGAAGACAGGAGAGUAAUAUACGAUCUUCCAAAGCAGUUUCAAGAUAAUUUGAUAGAUUACAUGUUUAGACAUUUAAAAUCAAGCAGAGGCCAGGUGUGGUGGCUCACACCUGUAAUCCUAGGCAUUUUGGCAGGCCAAGGCAAGAGGAUCAUUUGAGCCCAGGAGUUCGAGAUCAGCCUGUACAACACAGUGAGACCUCGCCUGUACAAACAAACAAACAAACAAUCAACAAAUAAAAUAAAAUAAAACAAGCAGAGUCAUGGUAGCAAUAAACCUUUUAAAAAAACCUAGCCCCCUCCCCCUCUCCCUCUCCCUCUCCACGGUCUCCCUCUCCCUCUCUCUCCACGGUCUCCCUCUUCCUCUCCCUCUCUCUCCACGGUCUCCCUCUGAUGCCGAGCCGAGGCUGGACUGUACUGCCGCCAUCUCGGCUCACUGCAACCUCCCUGCCUGAUUCUCCUGCCUCAGCCUGCCGAGUGCCUGGGAUUGCAGGCGCGCGCCGCCACGCCUGACUGGUUUUCGUAUUUUUUGGUGGAGACGGGGUUUCACUGUGUUGGCCGGGCUGGUCUCCAGCUCCUGACCGUGAGUGAUCUGCCCACCUCGGCCUCCCGAGGUGCCGGGAUUGCAGACGGAGUCUCGCUCACUCAGUGCUCAAUCUUGCCCAGGCUGGAGUGCGGUGGCAUGAUCUCAGCUCGCUACAACCUCCACCUCCCAGCCACCUGCCUUGGCCUCCCAAAGUGCCGAGAUUGCAGCCUCUGCCCGGCCGCCACCCCAUCUGGGAAGUGAGGAGCGUCUCUGCCUGGCCGACCAUCGUCUGGGAGGUGAGGAGCCCCUCUGCCCGGCCGCCCAGUCUGGGAAGUGAGGAGCGCCUCUUCCCGGCCGCCAUCCCGUCUAGGAAGGGGGGAGCAUCUCUGCCCGGCCGCCCAUCGUCUGAGAUGUGGGGAGCGCCUCUGCCCCGCCGCCCCGUCUGGGAUGUGAGGAGCGCCUCUGCCCGGCCGCGACCGCAUCUGGGAACUGAGGAGUGUCUCUGCCCGACUGCCACCCCGUCUGGGAGGUGAGGAGCGUCUGAGAAGUGAGGAGCCCCUCCGCCUGGCAGCCGCCCCGUCUGGGAAGUGAGGAGCGUCUCCGCCUGGCAGCCGCCCCGUCCGGGAGGGAGGUGGGGGGCAGCCCCCGCCCGGCCAGCUGCCCCGUCCGGGAGGGAGGUGGGGGGCAGCCCCUGCCCGGCAGCCGCCCCGUCCGGGAGGUGGGGGGCGCCUCCGCCCAGCCGCUGCCCUGUCUGGGAGGUGGGGGGCGCCUCUGCCCGGCCGCCCCCUCUGGGAAGUGAGGAGCCUCUCUGCCCAGCCGCCACCCCGUCUGGGAGGUGUACCCAACAGCUCAUUGAGAACAGGCCAUGAUGACGAUGGCGAUUUUGUCGAAUAGAAAAGGGGGAAAUGUGGGGAAAAGAAAGAAAAAUCAGAUUGUUACUGUGUCUGUGUAGAAAGAAGUAGACACAGGAGACUCCAUUUUGUUCUGUACUAAGAAAAAUUCUUCUGCCUUGGGAUGCUGUUAAUCUAUAACCUUACCCCCAACCCCGUGCUCUCUCAAACAUGUGCUGUGUCAACUCAGGGUUAAAUGGAUUAAGGGCGGUGCAAGAUGUGCUUUGUUAAACAGAUGCUUGAAGGCAGCAUGCUCCUUAAGAGUCAUCACCACUCCCUAAUCUCAAGUACCCAGGGACACAAACACUGCGGUCGGCCACAGGGUCCUCUGCCUAGGAAAACCAGAGACCCUUGUUCACAUGUUUAUCUGCUGACCUUCCCUCCACUAUUGUCCUAUGACCCUGCCAAAUCCGCCUCCCCAAGAAACACCCAAG